UAGCCACAGGUCAAUGACGCGCCAGAUACGUGCGUCAUCCGCCAGACACUCCCCCGAAGCCAGCGAGGAUGGCUGCGCGCGCGUUUGUGCGCUCGUGCGCGGUGACCCGUCUGUCUCCUUUUUUUUUUUUUUUUUCUUUUUUAACUGUAACCUGGUUUAUUGGGCUCUCGGCGUAUUCUUGCGUUCCUUCUGCACUGGGACAAGACACCACUGCACUAUUGGACUACGGCAAGCUGGUGCCGUCCGGCGGAGCUUCAUACAGGAACUACUGCCUUACCUGCUGGUGUCACAACGUUGGAUGAACGCACAAAAAGCGCGGAACGAGCUUUUAUAUAGAGCAAAAUAAAUAUUUCCUCAUUGCACAAAA
Long non-coding RNA from Dermacentor silvarum, 367 nucleotides. RefSeq lists it as uncharacterized. The transcript is spliced from 2 exons. The record is from RefSeq and is a predicted model, not a curated record. NCBI's taxonomy places the organism in Eukaryota, Metazoa, Arthropoda, Arachnida, Ixodida, Ixodidae.